RNAcentral lists this long non-coding RNA (1352 nucleotides) under Salmo salar (Atlantic salmon). Its description in RNAcentral is "lncRNA (ENSSSAG00000086170.1)". Lineage: Eukaryota; Metazoa; Chordata; Actinopteri; Salmoniformes; Salmonidae. The record is from RNAcentral.
CAUGGAGAUCCUACUACUACAGAGGAGAGGAGGUAACAUGGAGAUCCUACUACUACAGAGGAGAGGAGGUAACAUGGAGGUCCUACUACUACAGAGGAGAGGAGGUAACAUGGAGAUCCUACUACUACAGAGGAGAGGAGGUAACAUGGAGAUCCUACUACUACAGAGGAGAGGAGGUAACAUGGAGGUCCUACUACUACAGAGGAGAGGAGGUAACAUGGAGGUCCUACUACUACAGAGGAGAGGAGGUAACAUGGAGAUCCUACUACUACAGAGGAGAGGUAACAUGGAGAUCCUACUACUACAGAGGAGAGGAGGUAACAUGGAGAUCCUACUACUACAGAGGAGAGGAGGUAACAUGGAGGUCCUACUACUACAGAGGAGAGGAGGUAACAUGGAGGUCCUACUACUACAGAGGAGAGGAGGUAACAUGGAGGUCCUACUACUACAGAGGAGAGGAGGUAACAUGGAGGUCCUACUACUACAGAGGAGAGGAGGUAACAUGGAGGUCCUACUACUACAGAGGAGAGGUAACAUGGAGGUCCUACUACUACAGAGGAGAGGAGGUAACAUGGAGGUCCUACUACUACAGAGGAGAGGAGGUAACAUGGAGGUCCUACUACUACAGAGGAGAGGAGGUAACAUGGAGGUCCUACUACUACAGAGGAGAGGUAACAUGGAGAUCCUACUACUACAGAGGAGAGGUAACAUGGAGAUCCUACUACUACAGAGGAGAGGAGGUAACAUGGAGGUCCUACUACUACAGAGGAGAGGAGGUAACAUGGAGGUCCUACUACUACAGAGGAGAGGUAACAUGGAGAUCCUACUACUACAGAGGAGAGGUAACAUGGAGGUCCUACUACUACAGAGGAGAGGAGGUAACAUGGAGGUCCUACUACUACAGAGGAGAGGAGGUAACAUGGAGGUCCUACUACUACAGAGGGAAGCCUACUGGAUAUCCUGUCUAAAAACAUUGACCCCUCGUGGUCUGAAUAUUGACUUAGAUCAAAGACCCUUAUUAUGAACAAUAUUUAGAGUCUAAAAAACAGUAUUUAAAAAAAUCUAUUCUUUCUGCAGGUUAUCAGCAUACACCCAAUAUGUUCCCCUGUUGAUGCAGCUUCUUAUGCAUUAGGGUUGAACCAAAAGAUUAUUCCAAACAAUUAUAUAUUUGUGUGUGUGUGUGUGUGUGUGUGUGUGUGUGUGUGUGUGUGUGUGUGUGUGUGUGUGUGUGUGUGUGUGUGUGUGUGUGUGUGUGUGUGUGUGUGUGUGUGUGUGUGUGGAAUUGAUGAGGAAAAACAUGUAUUUAGUCCAUUUUAGAAUAAGGCUGUAACGUAACAAAAUGUGGAAAAAGG